GACGAACGCUGGCGGCGUGCUUAACACAUGCAAGUCGAACGGAAAGGCCCUGCUUUUGUGGGGUGCUCGAGUGGCGAACGGGUGAGUAACACGUGAGUAACCUGCCCUUGACUUUGGGAUAACUUCAGGAAACUGGGGCUAAUACCGGAUAGGAGCUCCUGCUGCAUGGUGGGGGUUGGAAAGUUUCGGCGGUUGGGGAUGGACUCGCGGCUUAUCAGCUGGUUGGUGGGGUAGUGGCUUACCAAGGCUUUGACGGGUAGCCGGCCUGAGAGGGUGGCCGGCCACAUUGGGACUGAGAUACGGCCCAGACUCCUACGGGAGGCAGCAGUGGGGAAUAUUGCACAAUGGGCGGAAGCCUGAUGCAGCAACGCCGCGUGCGGGAUGACGGCCUUCGGGUUGUAAACCGCUUUCGCCUGUGACGAAGCGUGAGUGACGGUAAUGGGUAAAGAAGCACCGGCUAACUACGUG
This 468-nucleotide ribosomal RNA is filed under the name uncultured bacterium. Its description in RNAcentral is "partial 16S ribosomal RNA". It matches the Rfam family "Bacterial small subunit ribosomal RNA", at positions 28 to 507 of the family's 1533-position model. The record is from RNAcentral.